GGCCGGCUAGCUCGGUUGGUUAGAGCAUGGUGCUAAUAACGCCAAGGUCGCGGGUUCGUUCGAUUCCCGUACCGGCUA
Molecule: transfer RNA, 78 nt
Organism: Loxodonta africana (African savanna elephant)
Lineage: Eukaryota; Metazoa; Chordata; Mammalia; Proboscidea; Elephantidae
Rfam family: tRNA
About the family: Transfer RNA (tRNA) molecules are approximately 80 nucleotides in length.
Source: Rfam